RNAcentral lists this ribosomal RNA (433 nucleotides) under uncultured bacterium. RNAcentral's name for it is "partial 16S ribosomal RNA". It matches the Rfam family "Bacterial small subunit ribosomal RNA", at positions 29 to 507 of the family's 1533-position model. The record is from RNAcentral.
AACGAACGCUGGCGGCAGGCCUAACACAUGCAAGUCGAGCGAGGACUUCGGUUCUAGCGGCGGACGGGUGAGUAACGCGUGGGAAUGUGCCCUUCUCUACGGCAUAUCCCUGGGAAACUGGGAGUAAUACCUUAUACGCCCUUUUGUGGAAAGAUUUAUCGGAGAAGGAUCAGCCCGCGUUGGAUUAGGUAGUUGGUGGGGUAAUGGCCUACCAAGCCGACGAUCCAUAGCUGGUUUGAGAGGAUGAUCAGCCACACUGGGACUGAGACACGGCCCAGACUCCUACGGGAGGCAGCAGUGGGGAAUCUUAGACAAUGGGGGCAACCCUGAACUAGCCAUGCCGCGUGAGUGAUGAAGGCCUUAGGGUUGUAAAGCUCUUUCAGCUGGGAAGAUAAUGACGGUACCAGCAGAAGAAGCCCCGGCUAACUCCGUG